This 552-nucleotide ribosomal RNA is filed under the name Lysmata wurdemanni. RNAcentral describes it as "eukaryotic LSU rRNA". It matches the Rfam family "Eukaryotic large subunit ribosomal RNA", at positions 120 to 468 of the family's 3401-position model. The record is from RNAcentral. Lineage: Eukaryota; Metazoa; Arthropoda; Malacostraca; Decapoda; Hippolytidae.
ACCUGGCGGUCUUGCGCGGCCGUCCAGGGGUGUUGCGUUCCGGUGCGUGCUUGCCGCCCGAGUUGCUCACCGCCUAAGUCAUUGCUUGAAAGCAGCCCCGAGGAGGGUGAUAGGCCCGUGUGGCGGCGCCUGUAAAAAGGGUGAAGGCGGCUCGGGCGGGCGGACGUCCACCGUAGAGUCGGGUUGCUUAGUACUGCAGCCCUAAGCAGGUGGUAAACUCCAUCUAAGGCUAAAUACUACCACGAGUCCGAUAGAGAACAAGUACCGUGAGGGAAAGCUGAAAAGGACUUUGAAGAGAGAGUUCAAUAGGACGUGAAACCGUUAGAAGCUUAAACGGGUGGAACCGCGAAGGUUGAACGAGGGGAUUCAGCUCGCCGGUGCCCGGAGUGCGGAGGGCGGGUCAGACAUGUUUUGACGACGGGACCCGGCGCGAGAGUGCUGCCGGGCCCCGCCGCCGCCUCCGGGCCUUCGGGCGGGCUUACUUCUCCCUCGGGAGGUCGCCGCGACCCGUUGUCGGGGGCCCCAGGGCCGUGCCGCAUUGGUAGCCCGGGC